GAUGAACGCUGGCGGCGUGCCUAAUACAUGCAAGUCGAGCGAACGGACGAGAAGCUUGCUUCUCUGAUGUUAGCGGCGGACGGGUGAGUAACACGUGGAUAACCUACCUAUAAGACUGGGAUAACUUCGGGAAACCGGAGCUAAUACCGGAUAAUAUUUUGAACCGCAUGGUUCAAAAGUGAAAGACGGUCUUGCUGUCACUUAUAGAUGGAUCCGCGCUGCAUUAGCUAGUUGGUAAGUAAACGGCUUACCAAGGCAAGGAUGCAUAGCCGACCUGAGAGGGUGAUCGGCCACACUGGAACGGAAACACGGACAAGACUCCUACGGGAGGCACCAGAAGGGAAUCUUCGGCAAUGGGCGAAAGCCUGACGGAGCAAGGCGGCGUGAGUGAUGAAGGUCUUCGGAUCGUAAAACUCUGUUAUUGGGGAAGAACAUAUGUGUAAGUGAAUGUGCACAUCGUGACGGUACCUAAUCAGAAAGCCACGGCUAACUACGUG
RNAcentral lists this ribosomal RNA (497 nucleotides) under uncultured bacterium. RNAcentral's name for it is "partial 16S ribosomal RNA". It matches the Rfam family "Bacterial small subunit ribosomal RNA", at positions 28 to 507 of the family's 1533-position model. The record is from RNAcentral.